GUCAUCUGAUAACUCAGGUCAGUGUUCUUACCUUUUGCUUCCCCAACAAUUUUCAAAUCACCAUCUUUUUCUUUCUUUGUUCCUUUAAUCUUGGCUGCCUAAAGUUUCUUGUAGGUAAUCCAUCUUCUCAAUGCAAGAUUCUCUCUCUCUCUCUCUGUGUGCAACAUUUGGCUUUUACUCUCUGUGUGCAACAUUUGGCUUUUACCUUGAGAGUCUGUCAUUUAGGAUGAAACAAGAUGUUGCUUGUAGAUAACCUGCUGCUCUCUUGCUAUCAUUCUCUUACACAAAAAAUCCGAGCUCCAAAGGGGUAAUCCAAGUCACUUUAUAAUCUUGAUCUUUUUCAUGGGAAGCUGGAAGAAGGUACAAAUAAUCCCCUCCAACUUUCAUGGCAAAAUGGAGCAAAUGAUGUGGGGAAUGCCCAUGUGGUCGUGAACCUCCUCAAUCGCAGGGAUUCUUUCAACCCCUGGGGAUGUGAACCUUCUCUGCAAAUUGGAUACCAUCCAGUUUGUAUAGAUCAAUUGAACACUGAAGCCGCCGCCACCCAGAAUGUUAAUGGGUACUUUCCCUGGUGGAUUUGACGAGUUCUGGAACUUGAAAACUUUCUACCUCUACAGCUGAAAAUGCUACCUGAUCAAUUCUUCCUUCCUGUUUUUAUAUUUACUCUGAUGUUCCUUUCCCUAAAAAGUCUCAUAUGAAGAUAUGAUAAUAAUAGAUCUUGAGUCUUUGUAUCUGUAAAGUGAACCAAAAUAUGUUGCUAGAUGAAUGUGGAAUGGUACAAUAGUUUGUACUGAAUAAUAUUAUAUAGAAGUUAAUCAGAUACUUAUGAUAAUAAUAGAUCUUGAGUCUUUGUAUCUGUAAAGUGAACCAAAAUAUGUUGCUAGAUGAAUGUGGAAUGGUACAACAGUUUGUAUUGAAAUAAUAUUAUAUAGAAAUUAAUAAGAUACAUUAUGAA
Molecule: non-coding RNA, 952 nt
Organism: Phoenix dactylifera (date palm)
Lineage: Eukaryota; Viridiplantae; Streptophyta; Magnoliopsida; Arecales; Arecaceae
Source: RefSeq, a predicted model, not a curated record